AUAGAACUUUUUUUUAUAAUUUUUAGCAAUAAUUUGUUUUGAUUUUUACACUCUUAUUAUUGUUUCAGGGUGUCAACGCGCCUACUUCAUCAGACGUCUUAAUUUCAUAUUUACCACUUGCUCACAUGUUUGAAAGAAUAACUCAGAUUCUGUCAUAUAUUAGUGGGGGGAGUGUUGGCUUUUCUCAAGGAAAUAUAAAACUUUUAACAGACGAUA
Molecule: non-coding RNA, 216 nt
Organism: Parasteatoda tepidariorum (common house spider)
Lineage: Eukaryota; Metazoa; Arthropoda; Arachnida; Araneae; Theridiidae
Source: RefSeq, a predicted model, not a curated record